GAGGGGUGAGGAGGGGUGAGGGGUGAGGGUGGUCACAGACAGAGGGGUGUGGCUCGAGUCACUCGGGGUCGUCGGCGGCGGCCUCGGCCUCGACGAGCUCUGAGCUGCGGCUACCGGCCCAAGCGGAGGAGCGCCGGCCGGAGGGAGCGCGAGACGCCGAAGGAGUAGAAGGAGUUGCAGAAGCGGAAGGAGGAGCGGCAGCCGCGGCUCGUCGCUGCGUCGUGGCCAUUCCACCACGGCCUGCUCAUGCUGCUCGCGAGGAUGACGGAGAUGCUGUGGCUGCGGAGGUGGCAGAUGCCGCAGACGCGGAAGAAGCACGAGGAGGAGCGCGUCGACGACCAGUGGCCGCAGUGGGCGACGGAGACGAAGCCGGGGCGCGAGAGGAGGGCGCCGACGCGGCAGCGGCGGAAGCGGCAGAGGACCGACUGCAAGGAGUAGCGCCUCCGGACGGAGCAGCCUCCUAGGCGCUUCUUACGCAUGGUGUGGUUCAUGGAACCCAUGAUGUGCUUCGUGCUGGACCAGUCGACACGGCGCGAGGCGUUCCCCCACAAACGCCGUCGACGGCGGUACUACGAGUAGUUGGAGCGUCGGAGGGACCACAUGAUGACCUCGAUGAGCUUCCGCCGCCUGCCGCCCAAGUAGUUCGUGGUCUUGCUCCGGCCGCACCCGUACUGGCUGAUGCCGGAGCUGUCCCCGCCAUCGGGACCCGAGACUCACUCACUCCGAAACACAACGAAACGAACAACACUUGACCCGACCCUCCAACGACAUCGAACACACACGGACAACACGAACGUGGACGUAGAUUACUAGGCUCGCUGCGUCUUUGCCAUAACAUUGACGUAGUAUACAAAUACCAUACCUAGCGGAACCCACUAUAGCAGAAGCCACAUGAACAGGUCCUUGUUUCGACGAGCUCGUUAGUGCCAUUUUCAUGUUGUAACGCCACAUUAUGACGUAAACGGUACGAC
This 971-nucleotide ribosomal RNA is filed under the name Triticum aestivum (bread wheat). Its description in RNAcentral is "partial small subunit ribosomal RNA". The record is from RNAcentral. Lineage: Eukaryota; Viridiplantae; Streptophyta; Magnoliopsida; Poales; Poaceae.